GAUGAACGCUGGCGGCGUGCCUAAUACAUGCAAGUCGAGCGAACGGACGAGAAGCUUGCUUCUCUGAUGUUAGCGGCGGACGGGUGAGUAACACGUGGAUAACCUACCUAUAAGACUGGGAUAACUUCGGGAAACCGGAGCUAAUACCGGAUAAUAUUUUGAACCGCAUGGUUCAAAAGUGAAAGACGGUCUUGCUGUCACUUAUAGAUGGAUCCGCGCUGCAUUAGCUAGUUGGUAAGGUAACGGCUUACCAAGGCAACGAUGCAUAGCCGACCUGAGAGGGUGAGCGGCAGCACUAGAACUGCGCCACGGGCCAGACGACUACGGGAGGCAGCAGUAGGGAAUCUUGCGGAAUGGGCGAAAGCCUGACAGAGCAACUCCGCGGGAGUAAUGAAGGUUUUCGGAUCGUAAAACUCUGUUAUUAGAGAAGAACAUAUGUGUAAGUAAAUGUGCACAUCUGGACGGUACCUAAUCAGAAAGCAACGGCUAACUACGUG
Molecule: ribosomal RNA, 497 nt
Filed under: uncultured bacterium
Lineage: Bacteria
Description: partial 16S ribosomal RNA
Rfam family: Bacterial small subunit ribosomal RNA
Source: RNAcentral